CAGUAGCCACGGUAAUACGUAGGUGGCAAGCGUUGUCCGGAAUUAUUGGGCGUAAAGGGCUCGCAGGCGGUUUCUUAAGUCUGAUGUGAAAGCCCCCGGCUCAACCGGGGAGGGUCAUUGGAAACUGGGAAACUUGAGUGCAGAAGAGGAGAGUGGAAUUCCACGUGUAGCGGUGAAAUGCGUAGAGAUGUGGAGGAACACCAGUGGCGAAGGCGACUCUCUGGUCUGUAACCGACGCUGAGGAGCGAAAGCGUGGGGAGCGAACAGGAUUAGAUACCCGAGUAGUCCCUGUCUCUUAUAC
Molecule: ribosomal RNA, 301 nt
Filed under: uncultured bacterium
Lineage: Bacteria
Description: partial 16S ribosomal RNA
Rfam family: Bacterial small subunit ribosomal RNA
Source: RNAcentral